Molecule: ribosomal RNA, 468 nt
Filed under: uncultured bacterium
Lineage: Bacteria
Description: partial 16S ribosomal RNA
Rfam family: Bacterial small subunit ribosomal RNA
Source: RNAcentral
GACGAACGCUGGCGGCGUGCUUAACACAUGCAAGUCGAACGGAAAGGCCCUGCUUUUGUGGGGUGCUCGAGUGGCGAACGGGUGAGUAACACGUGAGUAACCUGCCCUUGACUUUGGGAUAACUUCAGGAAACUGGGGCUAAUACCGGAUAGGAGCUCCUGCUGCAUGGUGGGGGUUGGAAAGUUUCGGCGGUUGGGGAUGGACUCGCGGCUUAUCAGCUUGUUGGUGGGGUAGUGGCUUACCAAGGCUUUGACGGGUAGCCGGCCUGAGAGGGUGACCGGCCACAUUGGGACGGAGAUGAGGCCCAGACUCCUACGGGAGGCAGCAGUGGGGAAUAUUGCACAAUGGGCGGAAGCCUGAUGCAGCAACGCCGCGUGCGGGAUGACGGCCUUCGGGUUGUAAACCGCUUUCGCCUGUGACGAAGCGUGAGUGACGGUAAUGGGUAAAGAAGCACCGGCUAACUACGUG